AGAAUCAACGCUGGCGGCGUGCCUAACACAUGCAAGUCGAACGCGAAAACCCCGCAAGGGGUUAGUAGAGUGGCAAACGGGUGAGUAACACGUGGGUGACCUGCCUUCGAGUGGGGGAUAACGUCCCGAAAGGGACGCUAAUACCGCAUGACAUCCUGCUUUUGGAAAAGCGGAGAUCAAAGCUGGGGAUUCGCAAGAACCUGGCGCUUGAAGAGGGGCCCGCGCCUGAUUAGCUAGUUGGUAGGGUAACGGCCUACCAAGGCGACGAUCAGUA
Molecule: ribosomal RNA, 274 nt
Filed under: uncultured soil bacterium
Lineage: Bacteria
Description: partial 16S ribosomal RNA
Rfam family: Bacterial small subunit ribosomal RNA
Source: RNAcentral